Molecule: long non-coding RNA, 1446 nt
Organism: Nilaparvata lugens (brown planthopper)
Lineage: Eukaryota; Metazoa; Arthropoda; Insecta; Hemiptera; Delphacidae
Exons: 4
Source: RefSeq, a predicted model, not a curated record
GAUCUUAGCUCCUGCUACUUAGAACGUAUUAACAUUCCGAGUUGGUCUGGAAGUUUUAUUCCGACUUCAGAUUAAGGCAAGGUUGCCUGAGUGUCAGGUUUAAGUUACUUUAACUGGGGAUUCUUAGGAGAUUUUCAAGUAUUUUUUUACUAGUAACAGUAGUCAUUUUUACAAGUAUUUCCAUGCAAAUAUUAUAGUGAUACGGAGUUAGCGGCUCCUAGUAGGUUAUGUACAUAAGUUACUUAUACUGAGUAUUCUGAGAAGUAAUAUUCGUUACAAGUGGUAAUCGAGUGGAAUAUUUCUAAUCAAUUUAUUAAUUCAAACCAUCUGGAUUCAAAAUUUAUAUUUUUCAUGUUUAUUUUGGACUAGAAUUUUGUAAAAUUUGUACACCUGAAAUUCUAACCUCAUCUUGGACUGUGUCACCUACAAAUUUGGAAGAAAAAUAGCACAAGGACUACUUUAUUAUUUUAUCUAUCAAUCUAACAUUAGUCUCAUUCGCAUUGUGAAUAUAUGAAAAUAAAAUAAAUAUAUAUGUAUUAAUAAAUAAAUAACAUUUGGUAUUUAUUAUCCAGUAAUAGUGAAUAUUCACCAAUUUCGUCGACUAGUAACCGUUAUUCGCACCCUUAUUAUAAUGUGUUUUGAGAUAGAGUUACAUACGGGACCAUACAUUAUACCAGCUGUUGUUGAAGAAGUAGCUAAUGUUUCAAGGGAAAUUUCAUGAAGGGAGGACGGAUAAAACAUGUGAAGAAUAAUGGAUAAGCAUGGGUGAUUCAUUUGAUGAUACUGAAACUGGAUUCAGGACAUGAUGCACCAGAGUGCGCCCGAGGCUCCUAGGCAUGAAACCAGUUGAUGGACCUCGACUAAGGAAGACCUGCCUCUUUCUAACAGCUUCAAUCAUCACUUCAAGCUGAGAUAAAAUGUUAGAUAGACUCACAGAAGGAUUCUCAAGAGUGAAGGAAGCUCCAAUGCAGACGAGUUAAUAAUGGGGAAGGAAGCAUAGUACCCUCCCUCACCCAUAGCACCCCUCAUCCACAACCACAACCACUCAAUAUUGGGCAACCGUUGAUUAAUGACCCUGUUUACCCCCUCCCACCAAAGCAACUUCACAACCAACCAACACCUCACCCAUCAACACACACUUCAUCAAUCUUUUCUCUCUUCUACUUUCUCACUCUGUCACUCACUCUCUCUAUCUCUUCUCUAUCAAUCUUACAUUCUCGUUCUCUCUCACUAUUUCUCUAUCUCUAUCUCAUCCCUAUCAAUCUUUGAUUCUUACUCUUUCUCACUCUUACUCCUUCAGAUAUCCUUCUCUACUCUCUUUAUCAUCCUUAUAAAUCCUUCGCUCUUUCCUCUCUCUCUUUUACUCACACUGUUUCACUCUCUCUUCUCUCUCUUUUACUCACACUGUUUCACUCUCUCUUCUCUCUCUCUUUCUCAAUUUCACAC